UGGAGAGUUUGAUCCUGGCUCAGAUUGAACGCUGGCGGCAUGCCUUACACAUGCAAGUCGAACGGUAACAGGUCUUCGGAUGCUGACGAGUGGCGAACGGGUGAGUAAUACAUCGGAACGUGCCCGAUCGUGGGGGAUAACGGAGCGAAAGCUUUGCUAAUACCGCAUACGAUCUACGGAUGAAAGCAGGGGACCGCAAGGCCUUGCGCGGACGGAGCGGCCGAUGGCAGAUUAGGUAGUUGGUGGGAUAAAAGCUUACCAAGCCGACGAUCUGUAGCUGGUCUGAGAGGACGACCAGCCACACUGGGACUGAGACACGGCCCAGACUCCUACGGGAGGCAGCAGUGGGGAAUUUUGGACAAUGGGCGAAAGCCUGAUCCAGCCAUGCCGCGUGCAGGAUGAAGGCCUUCGGGUUGUAAACUGCUUUUGUACGGAACGAAAAGACUCCUUCUAAUAAAGGGGGUCCAUGACGGUACCGUAAGAAUAAGCACCGGCUAACUACGUGCCAGCAGCCGCGGUA
This 520-nucleotide ribosomal RNA is filed under the name Acidovorax sp. 10407. RNAcentral describes it as "bacterial SSU rRNA". It matches the Rfam family "Bacterial small subunit ribosomal RNA", at positions 1 to 522 of the family's 1533-position model. The record is from RNAcentral. Lineage: Bacteria; Pseudomonadati; Pseudomonadota; Betaproteobacteria; Burkholderiales; Comamonadaceae.